AUUCUUCGGAUGAAGAGUAUUGUGACUGAGCGGCGGACGGGUGAGUAACGCGUGGGUAACCUGCCUCAUACAGGGGGAUAACAGUUAGAAAUGACUGCUAAUACCGCAUAAGACCACAGCACCGCAUGGUGCAGGGGUAAAAACUCCGGUGGUAUGAGAUGGACCCGCGUCUGAUUAGCUAGUUGGUAAGGUAACGGCUUACCAAGGCGACGAUCAGUAGCCGACCUGAGAGGGUGACCGGCCACAUUGGGACUGAGACACGGCCCAAACUCCUACGGGAGGCAGCAGUGGGGGAUAUUGCACAAUGGGGGAAACCCUGAUGCAGCGACGCCGCGUGAGUGAAGAAGUAUUUCGGUAUGUAAAGCUCUAUCAGCAGGGAAGAAAAUGACGGUACCUGACUAAGAAGCACCGGCUAAAUACGUGCCAGCAGCCGCGGUAAUACGUAUGGUGCAAGCGUUAUCCGGAUUUACUGGGUGUAAAGGGAGCGUAGACGGAUGGGCAAGUCUGAUGUGAAAACCCGGGGCUCAACCCCGGGACUGCAUUGGAAACUGUUCAUCUAGAGUGCUGGAGAGGUAAGUGGAAUUCCUAGUGUAGCGGUGAAAUGCGUAGAUAUUAGGAGGAACACCAGUGGCGAAGGCGG
This 640-nucleotide ribosomal RNA is filed under the name uncultured Lachnospiraceae bacterium. RNAcentral describes it as "bacterial SSU rRNA". It matches the Rfam family "Bacterial small subunit ribosomal RNA", at positions 72 to 724 of the family's 1533-position model. The record is from RNAcentral. Lineage: Bacteria; Bacillati; Bacillota; Clostridia; Lachnospirales; Lachnospiraceae.